This 526-nucleotide ribosomal RNA is filed under the name uncultured Staphylococcus sp. RNAcentral's name for it is "bacterial SSU rRNA". It matches the Rfam family "Bacterial small subunit ribosomal RNA", at positions 1 to 507 of the family's 1533-position model. Lineage: Bacteria; Bacillati; Bacillota; Bacilli; Caryophanales; Staphylococcaceae. The record is from RNAcentral.
CGGUAGAGUUUGUAGUCCUGGCGUCAGGAUGAACGCUGGCGGCGUAGCCUAAUACAUGCAAGUCGAGCGAACAGAUAAGGAGCUUGCUCCUUUUGACGUUAGCGGCGGACGGGUGAGUAACACGUGGGUAACCUACCUAUAAGACUGGAAUAACUCCGGGAAACCGGGGCUAAUGCCGGAUAAUAUUUAGAACCGCAUGGUUCUAAAGUGAAAGAUGGUUUUGCUAUCACUUAUAGAUGGACCCGCGCCGUAUUAGCUAGUUGGUGGGGUAAUGGCUUACCAAGGCAACGAUACGUAGCCGACCUGAGAGGGUGAUCGGCCACACUGGAACUGAGACACGGUCCAGACUCCUACGGGAGGCAGCAGUAGGGAAUCUUCCGCAAUGGGCGAAAGCCUGACGGAGCAACGCCGCGUGAGUGAUGAAGGUCUUCGGAUCGUAAAACUCUGUUAUUAGGGAAGAACAAAUGUGUAAGUAACUGCGCACGUCUUGGCGGUACCUAAUCAGAAAGCCACGGCUAACUACGUG